Molecule: ribosomal RNA, 479 nt
Filed under: uncultured bacterium
Lineage: Bacteria
Description: bacterial SSU rRNA
Rfam family: Bacterial small subunit ribosomal RNA
Source: RNAcentral
GAACGAACGCUGGCGGCAUGCUUAAUACAUGCAAGUCGAACGAGAAAGCCCCUUCGGGGGUGAGUAGAGUGGCGUACGGGUGAGUAACGCGUAGGUAAUCUGCCCCAAGGUUUGGGAUAACCUUCCGAAAGGAGGGCUAAUACCGGAUAACAAUAGAGGUUUAGUGGUCUUUAUUUGAAAGGUCCGCCGCCUUGGGAUGAGCCUGCGUAUCAUUAGCUAGUUGGUGGGGUAAUGGCCUACCAAGGCUGCGAUGAUUAGCGGGUCUGAGAGGAUGAUCCGCCACACUGGAACUGAGAUACGGUCCAGACUUCUACGGAAGGCAGCAGUGAGGAAUAUUGGACAAUGGGCGAAAGCCUGAUCCAGCAAUACCGCGUGAGUGAUGAAGGCUUUAGGGUUGUAAAACUCUUUCAGUAGGGAUAAUAAUGAUGUUACCUACAGAAGAAGCACCGGCUAACUCCGUGCCAGCCGCCGCGGUAAUU